RNAcentral lists this ribosomal RNA (508 nucleotides) under Streptomycetaceae bacterium. RNAcentral describes it as "bacterial SSU rRNA". It matches the Rfam family "Bacterial small subunit ribosomal RNA", at positions 471 to 976 of the family's 1533-position model. The record is from RNAcentral. Lineage: Bacteria; Bacillati; Actinomycetota; Actinomycetes; Kitasatosporales; Streptomycetaceae.
GACGGUACCUGCAGAAGAAGCACCGGCUAACUACGUGCCAGCAGCCGCGGUAAUACGUAGGGUGCGAGCGUUGUCCGGAAUUAUUGGGCGUAAAGAGCUCGUAGGCGGUCUGUCACGUCGGAUGUGAAAGCCCGGGGCUUAACCCCGGGUCUGCAUUCGAUACGGGCAGACUAGAGUGUGGUAGGGGAGAUCGGAAUUCCUGGUGUAGCGGUGAAAUGCGCAGAUAUCAGGAGGAACACCGGUGGCGAAGGCGGAUCUCUGGGCCAUUACUGACGCUGAGGAGCGAAAGCGUGGGGAGCGAACAGGAUUAGAUACCCUGGUAGUCCACGCCGUAAACGUUGGGAACUAGGUGUUGGCGACAUUCCACGUCGUCGGUGCCGCAGCUAACGCAUUAAGUUCCCCGCCUGGGGAGUACGGCCGCAAGGCUAAAACUCAAAGGAAUUGACGGGGGCCCGCACAAGCAGCGGAGCAUGUGGCUUAAUUCGACGCAACGCGAAGAACCUUACCA